This is a long non-coding RNA of Lepisosteus oculatus (spotted gar), 3198 nucleotides long. RefSeq lists it as uncharacterized. Lineage: Eukaryota; Metazoa; Chordata; Actinopteri; Semionotiformes; Lepisosteidae. The record is from RefSeq and is a predicted model, not a curated record.
UAGUCAGUGCAGUCUGUAAAGUAACGAAAGUUACAUGGUCAGUAAGCUAGUGAACUGAUCUUCAGCAUGUGGGUCAAUGAAGAAAUUCGGCAGAUUAUUUUCUGGACGGAUCCGGCUCCAGCAGUGGCCUGUAUUGAAGAAGCCAGGAUUUUCUCAAGCCCCGCUCAAGAGGACCAGCACUGGAAACCCACUCGUUUGUAGAGGAUUAUGGGGCGGCAUACUGGAUGAAGUCUACUGCCUGGGAUGCCAGGAGCAGGAUUUAUGGACAGGGGUCCUGCUGAGAUCAAAGACAGGCCAGUCUGCAGCAGUUGAAAGAUGACUGGCGACCGAGACUAAAUUAGAAGUUUUCCAACCCCAGGGGAGAAGAAGACAGGGAACGUGGCCCGCGGAGUUCGUGCAGGAGAGUAUGAGCAGAAUCCAGGGGAGGAGGGCUCCGUAUAAAGGACUCCUGGAAGUAUAUCGUGGAGGAGAGGGGCAAAUCUGUCCCACCUUGCCCGAAGCAGGCUCGUUGAUGAAAAUGUCUUGUCUCGUUCGUCUCUGUCAUUUCACUCUGCUUUUUCCAGGGGUUAAGGGGAAGGGCUUGUUACCAAAGGGUGUCUUGAUCUAUUGCUGAUUUGCUGCGUUAACUGACCUCCCUCUGCUGCCGUCCGGCGGGUGAGGCAAGAAUCCCGUCUCGUGUAUCUUACACAACGGCAGAUGUUAUAGCACCUGUUCACCCUGUAAGUCACUGGAAGCUUUGCGUUAACAUACUACUAACAAAUCUUUGCUGUGUGGUUGUGGGUUUUCAGGUCCAUCACCCAUUCUAGUAUCGGUUAGUACAAAAGAAGAAAAACAUUAGCCAAGAAGGAUGAAAUCUCAAAUGGAGAACAGUGAGGAAAUUUUGUUGAACACACAGCACUCUCUUGAUCUAGAUAAUGCUGGAUCUCGAUAAAAAAGGAUAUUUGAAUGCUUUUGUUUAGGCACUUGAAAGCUCUCUAUACUUUAGACUUUUAGGGACUUUAAAUGAGCCAUUGUUUUGAAUUCGUGAAAGAGACAGACAUAAAAAGGAGGAGGAGAUGCACAUUUAGCCUCAUCCGGUCAAGAAGACUAAAAUGUGCUGAGAGACCAGAGACAGUUUUUUACAGAGAGACAUAGAACAGUGGGCAAAACUGCUACCCCCACUGUUUUGUCUGAUAAUAUAAUGGAAACUUCCUAGAAAUCUGGAAAAAAAAAGGAUGUCCCGACAUGUUCUUGUUCCUAAGAAUUCCGGUACAUUUACAGAAAUCUGUAUCCUGGCAGGAGCUAUGAGACUGUCAGAUUGCAGGGGUGCAGUAUCAUUUCCUGGCCUCUGUGAUGUCGCAUGCAAAAUGAAUACAACAUGCUUCCACCCAACAGCUGCCCCCAAACCCCCCUUUUUGUUGUUAUUUGAUUUGGGGGAUUCUUAUUUGCUGGCAGAGUGUCCUGGGGAGCUGUGCAAUGGCAGUGUGAAGGGGCUAGCCUUUUGAAAUUAGAGCCCUUUGUUUUUUCCUGUCAGGACCUCCGGACGGAGAGAGAACAGGACUUGGGAUCAGGAGGCGUUUGCUGUUUUGGAGGGGGCUUGCGUGGGGGUUAGGGAGGGAGGGGGGUGAAGGAGAGAGAUCGCGUUCCAUCUGGGCACUUCCUACAGAACAGCUUGAAGCACUCAGCAAGUCAGAGAACAGCCGUCUGGAACUGCUUCUGAGGCCGGGGGCUUGGUUGUGUGUGCAUGUGAGCUUGUGGGCUUCAUUUAAAAAAUAACAAGUCUUGCAAAUCCAGAAAUCGAGAGGAGAGACGGCAACAGAUAGGUUGCAGCGCUUGCUUAUUUAUCCCUUAUGAACACAUGACACGUUGAAUGGAUGGUUGCAAGCAGUCAAGCCCUUGGCAUGGAGGUGUAAAAAAACCAUAAAAAACUGCCAGUCAGCACUCAAAGUCAGUAUGAAUUUCUAAAGCCUCCUGCUCCAAAAGUGGGGCUCAGUACUGUAUUCUUAGGGAGGACAGAGGGAAAGGUUUGGGAGGUCUUUUGGAAUCUCCCCAGGAACGAAGAUAAAUGCGUUGUGGACUCAAAUGAGAGGAGGGCCUGUAUAUUUGUGGCAGGUGAGGCAGAGGGGUGUUUUGGAGAGCAGCAAACACGUUUGCCAGUCUGUGCCCAGAAUGGCAUGCAGGAACCUGGGCAUGCUCUGUGAACAGUCAUCCAGGCACAUCUACGUGAAAACCAGCACUUCCCACAGGUAGCCUUCCUGUUCUGAUCUGACUCUGAGCAGACUGCGCUUUGCUGAGGCUUGAGUGCGCUGUCUCUGCUCUGUGCUGCACUAGGCUGUGACACUGGGGGAGCGUUGCAGGAAGGGGGAGGAGCUGCACCCACAGCUUGUCCAGACCAGACUGACCUCAGCUGACCCCACCUGUUCUCUCGCAGCAGGUGCGACUGUCAGACCCACAAAAACAGAAGGAGUGAGACUGAAGACAAAGCAAUGGAGAUUUCAGAAAGGACAGUAAAAAAACACAACAGCAGCAGCCCAAAGAUGAAGCAGCCCUUAGUGUGUAGGCUGUGAGUAGACUGUGUGUAGACCAUAUGUAGGCAGUGAUUUCCCAGCUUCUGCAUUUUCUCAAGUUUAGGACUUGUGAUGUUUUCUCUCUUUUGCAUCCAUGAGAAUUAAAGAGCUGCAUAGAGGGCAGAGAUUUUGCUUAUUUUCACAUGCUGCUCUGCUUGGCUGCUAUUUCUCUCACUGCGCGUGAAAACAGCCUGCUGACUGCUUUUAAACCCCUGGAUACCCUGCAACUGUCCUUUCAUAGUCUUUAUCUGGCUCUAGCAAUUGUGUGGGAAUCAUUAAAAUAAAAAAAUAACUUUAUUUUUGUUCCUUUAAACUUCAAGGGUAUAUCAUUAGGCUGAGCAAGAUGGCUGCCUUCUUCAUGUUAUCACUUUCACAUGUUCUUAUGCGAAAGGAUUCCAGAAGAGGAAAAAAUAGCCCUUGAUAAAGUACACCGUGGUACUGACGCCUAUUUCCUCCCUGUGCUUUACAUCAUCCUAUUCAGGAUGUGCUCUAAUGGUUGGGGGGGGUUCAACUGUUGGUGCAAAACUGUCAUCUCCUGUUUCGGACUAGCCUAGAAAUAGUAACUCAAAGGGAUGAGACGGGACUCACGCACAUCAGCAUGCAAAUAAGAACAUAGGAACCAAGUGAAAGUAAAAUGGCUUGUUCCCCCACA